GAUGAACGCUGGCGGCGUGCCUAACACAUGCAAGUCGAACGGAGUAUAUAUUAUGAAGUUUUCGGAUGGAUUAAUAUAAACUUAGUGGCGGACGGGUGAGUAACGCGUGGGUAACCUGCCUCAUACAGGGGGAUAACAGCUGGAAACGGCUGCUAAAACCGCAUAAUAUUGCGACAUCGCAUGGUGAUGCAAUUAAAUAUUUAUAGGUAUGAGAUGGGCCCGCGUCUGAUUAGCUAGUUGGUGAGGUAAUGGCUCACCAAGGCGACGAUCAGUAGCCGGCUUGAGAGAGUGACCGGCCACAUUGGGACUGAGACACGGCCCAAACUCCUACGGGAGGCAGCAGUGGGGAAUAUUGCACAAUGGGGGAAACCCUGAUGCAGCGACGCCGCGUGAGUGAAGAAGUAUUUCGGUAUGUAAAGCUCUAUCAGCAGGGAAGAAAAUGACGGUACCUGACUAAGAAGCCCCGGCUAACUACGUGCCAGCCGCCGCAGUAA
This 494-nucleotide ribosomal RNA is filed under the name uncultured bacterium. RNAcentral's name for it is "partial 16S ribosomal RNA". It matches the Rfam family "Bacterial small subunit ribosomal RNA", at positions 28 to 523 of the family's 1533-position model. The record is from RNAcentral.